RNAcentral lists this ribosomal RNA (384 nucleotides) under uncultured prokaryote. RNAcentral describes it as "bacterial SSU rRNA". It matches the Rfam family "Archaeal small subunit ribosomal RNA", at positions 341 to 725 of the family's 1478-position model. The record is from RNAcentral.
GCGAAAACUUUACAAUGCUGGCAACAGCGAUAAGGGAACCUCGAGUGCCAGGUUACAAAUCAGGCUGUCGAGAUGCCUAAAAAGCACUUCAUAGCAAGGGCCGGGCAAGACCGGUGCCAGCCGCCGCGGUAACACCGGCGGCUCGAGUGGUAACCGUUAUUAUUGGGUCUAAAGGGUCUGUAGCCGGCCGGAUAAGUCUCUUGAGAAAUCUGGCAGCUUAACUGUCAGGCUUUCAGGAGAUACUGUCUGGCUCGAGGCCGGGAGAGGUGAGAGGUACUUCAGGGGUAGGGGUGAAAUGUUGUAAUCCUUGAAGGACCAAGAGAGGCGAAGGGGUCUCACUAGAACGGACCUGACGGCAAGUGACGAAAGCUAGGGGCACGAACC